GUCUGUGUGAAAGGUAUACAAAGUUAGGCCUGCCCACUGAUUUGAUUUAAGGGCUGCGGUAAUUUGACCGUGCAAAGGUAGCAUAAUAAUUAGUCUUUUAAUUGGGGGCUUGUAUGAAUGGUCGGACAGAAGAGUAGCUGUCUUAUUAGUAAAAGUUGAAUUUGAUUUUUAUGUGAAAAAGCAUAAAUGGUUCAGGGGGACGAUAAGACCCUAUAAAACUUGACUUUUAUAAAAUGGUUCUUGAAGUUUCUUUAAAAAGAAUAGUUUUAAGUAAAGUUGUGUUGGGGUGACAGGAAUAAAAUUUUGUGUAACUGUUCUAAAAAUAUAAUAGUUUAAUUAGAUAUUGAUCCUAUAGUAUGGAUAUAAGAUUAAGUUACUUUAGGGAUAACAGCGUAAUUUUUUUUGAGAGUUCAUAUCGACAAUAUGAGUUGCGACCUCGAUGUUGAAUUAAAACUAACUUCCAGGGGUAGUAGUUUGGGGAGGUAGGUCUGUUCGACCUUUAAAGUUUUACAUGAUUUGAGUUCAAACCGGUGCGAG
Molecule: ribosomal RNA, 537 nt
Filed under: Potamalpheops amnicus
Lineage: Eukaryota; Metazoa; Arthropoda; Malacostraca; Decapoda; Alpheidae
Description: partial large subunit ribosomal RNA
Rfam family: Bacterial large subunit ribosomal RNA
Source: RNAcentral